Molecule: ribosomal RNA, 249 nt
Filed under: uncultured bacterium
Lineage: Bacteria
Description: partial 16S ribosomal RNA
Rfam family: Bacterial small subunit ribosomal RNA
Source: RNAcentral
GUUACUGGGCGUAAAGACGCAUGCAGCGGCCUGUUAAGUCAGAUGUCGAAGACCCAGGGCUUAACCUCGGAAUUGCAUUUGAAACUGGCAGGCUAGAGUCUUGUAGAGGGGGGUAGGAAUUUCAGGUGUAGCGGUGAAAUAGCGUAGAGAUCUGAAGGAAUACCAGUGGCGAAGGCCGGCCCCCUCGGACAAAGACUGACGCUCAGAUGCGAAAGCGUGGGGAGCAAACAGGAUUAGAUACCCUGGUAG